RNAcentral lists this long non-coding RNA (11383 nucleotides) under Setaria viridis. RNAcentral describes it as "long non-coding RNA (SVIR_LNC001806)". The record is from RNAcentral. Lineage: Eukaryota; Viridiplantae; Streptophyta; Magnoliopsida; Poales; Poaceae.
UUUUUUCUAACCUCUUCCACUUCCUUAUACAUUUUGUACGACUUCCUUUCAUAGAAAUGACACACAGUUCUUCUGCAUUGUUUGGGAAAAAAUUGCUUGUCCUAACCACAUCUCAAACCAAUCACUAAUAACUUGCAACUGCUCCAUCUUUGUGCAAUCAACUUGAUAGGAUGUCAAAGUCAUUUGUCAAAAUAUGAUGUGAUUCACAUGGGUUGAGUUCCACACCUUGUAUCCAAUUGAGGGAUUCCGCAUGGUUUCACAAGGAAAAGCCUUCGCCCUUAAUGGGAACAAGGAUCAUGUUGGCAAACUAACAUUGGAGUGAUAAUUUCAGAUAGAGAUCCAUUAAUCUUUGCACGUUACUAGCUGUGCUGGCACAUUACAUAAGCACCAAGAACUAAUGAAAGCUUGUUUGACCAGAACAGCAUCCGAGAAUGCCUACUAGACCCAACUGUAUGCACUGCUAGGGAAAGCGGCUUCAGUACCAGUUGUGCAACCGGUAUUGCUACUUCGGUACUAAAGCGGGGGCCUUUAGUACCGAAUCAAAUAACCGGUACUAAAGGGUAUUAAAAAAUAAAAAAAAUGAAAUCUGGCCGGGCGCCCAGCCCCGCAUCCCGCCGGCCACGCCCAGCUACCCCCCCAGUUGUCAACAUCCGCGGCCCUACCGGAUAGGGAGAGGGAAAGGAAGGAGAGGGGGGGAGAGGGAGAGGGAGGGUGCGAGCAUACCUAUGCCCUGUGCACCACCACGCCCGGGCCGCCGUCGCUCCCCGCCCGCGCACCGUCGCCUCCGACUGGCCGCUGCUCCCCCGCGCGCCCAAGCACUGCCCUGCACCUUGCCCCGCUGCCGCUCCUCACUGCUAGUGAGAAGCGAGCAUAGGGGGAAGGGGAGGGGAAGCAGAGGGGAAGGGGGCGGCGGUGGCAGGAGAGGGAGGGAGAGAGGGGCGGCGGGAGGGAAGAGAGGGGGCGGCAGGUAGAUUAGGUUGAGAGAGAAAUGUGAGAGAAGAGAAGAUAAGGUUGAGAGAGAAGAGAUAAGGGGAACGGGAGUGGGUAGGGGGGAGAUGGAUAAGGUUGGGAUGUCCUUUAGUACGGGUUGGGAGCUUCAACCGGUAAUAAAGAUCAACCAUUAGUACCGGGUGGAGCCUCCACCCGAUACUAAAGGCCGGCUCCACCCGGUACUAAUGGGUGACCUUUAGUACCGGUUGGAGCCCCCAACCGGUACUAAAGGGGAUCAGGGGGGCUCCUGGGGAGCUAUCCGUUAGAUCCGGUACUAAUGUUCACAUUAGUACCGGGUCAAAAAUCAACCGAUAUUAAGGGCUAGGACCAAUGCUCAGUUUUGGAGCACUCAUGCCAAAUUUUAGCACCAAGAACCCCAUAUCAUGGGACCUGUUUCUUGCAUUAAAUGUGUGUGUCAUAUAUGGCAAAAGGACACGAUGUGUUACUUCCUUUCCUGGGACAAAUGUGCUUUGGUCCGUUGUACGAUAUCAUUCAAUAAUGCCUUGAGUCGAUCGACUCACUAACACUUUUUGGACAAUCUUAUACAAACGUCAAAUAAGCUAAUGGGGCGAAGAUACUUUAUUUUUUGGGUUUGUACUACAAAGUUUCAUUUUACAUUUUUGCAGCAAUUCUACUUAUUUGUUUAGUUUUUUGUAAGCUUUACUAAAUUUUCUGCUUUCUUAUUAUGAUGCAGGUGGUGACUACUAAGGAGGCAAGUUGUAAUGUACUUGCAUUUGCGGAUGUAGAUUGCUUGUGCCAACUGUGUGUUGUACGGCACACAAACAUCUUUGCUCAGGAGUUUGUAUGGAUAUCCCUCGUUUACUUCUCCAGAGAACUGAACGUCCGCUGGAAAUAUUUUCAGAACAAGCAGACCUAUCUGAAGUUGUUACGAAGCUGUAGAUCUUUCGCGUUUGUUCUGAUAGAAUCUCAUGUAGCAUUCAUGGGUGGUUUUCUGUGCUUUCAUUCUCACUUUCUCAGUAUACAUGCACAAUACUCCUAUUUCAAAAUAUAGAUUGUUUUAACUUGUCUAGGUUCAUAGUUUUUACUGUACUAGCAAACAUACCCGUGCGUUGCUACGGGUCUAGGGUAUCUUUGUUCAUUUGGAUGUAAAUGUACAAUCUUUGUUGCAAUGUGGAGGUCUACCAUCUUUUCGUUCCCAGUCUGAAGUUCUCUCAUCUGAUCUGAGCACUUUCAGGACUAAGCACCUCUUCCUGCAUGCAUACAGAAAGAACACACACAUUCAGAAAUUAAACCAUCGAGAACAGAUAUUCAGAAUAUAACCAUCAAGAACCCCCACACGCACAUUCAGAGCCAAUGUUCAGAGAAGAAGCAGAAUCAACAGAUAGUAGGAAUGAAGGCUAAUCAAAUAAGAUAUACAAACAAACAUCAAGUGCGCCCUUGGCACGGAGGCACGACCGGAGCCAACUGCCCAUCAGCACCAGCCUGUGCUCCGGAUUAUACUCCCACACCUUCGUCUCGUUGCACGAGCCCAGCUCCAGCGUCAGCGAUGACCGGCGCCGCCGCACCACGCAGAGCCCUGUCGCUUGGUGGAACAGCGCGUUGUACGGUGCUGCCUCGUCGAGGCCGGGUCCCCUGAACGGGCGCUGCAGGGCGCAGACCCUUCGCAGCGUCGUGUUGUUGCGCGGCCGGAGCUGGUCAUGGCUGAGCACCCGUACGCCUCGUCGUGCCCUGCGACGCCCUCCCGGAGGUAGUAGCCUCGUCGUGCCCUGCGACGCCCUCCCGGAGGUAGUAGCUCGCCGCCGAGGCCGCGCGUAGGGGCAGCGGCGGGGCGCCCCGCUCCGGCCGCCGCCAACACGAAUCAAGGGGGAAAAGGGAUGGCCUGAAUCCUCACAACAUGGGCGAUCGAUUUUUGUACAGCUGGAACCAAAUUCGUCAACGCCGUGCCAUCCGUCCACCUCGCCGUGUUGGUGCUCGGCAUGCCGUUGUCUCCCCGGUGGCUCGUCCUCAAGGGCCAGCUCAGAGACGCCAGGGUCGUGCUGGAGAAGAUCACCGAGACGCUGGAGGAGGCUGCGGGCAGCCUAACCGACAUCAAGGCGGCCGCAGGCUUGCCGAAAGGCGUCGAUGGCUAGUCACUGUGCCCAAGAGGAGCGGCGGUGAGGAGUGGCAGGUUUGGAAGGACCUUGUCUUCUCUCCGUCCCCGGUCAUGCGGCGGAUCCUGCUCUCGGCGCUCGGCAUCCACUUCUUCCAGCAGGCCUCCGGCAUCGACGCCUUCGUCCUCUACAGCCCCCGCAUCUUCAUGGGUGCCGGCAUCACCGACGACGGACGGGGAGCUCACCGGCUUACAGCUUCGCGGUGGCGACCUCUUCCUGGACGCCGCGCACGCGUCGGCAAUGCCGCCGAGGCUGCGCGCAGGAGCAGCGGCGGGGCGCCCCGCUCCAGCCGCCGCCCGCGCCCGAUCCCCUCCUUCGCCUCUCUAUUUUGGAGAAAGAGAAGCAUUUUUGUCUUUAACCCCCUCCCUUCCCUCCUUUUUCCACCCGAGCCAUUCCUCUCUUUAGAAUAUGGACUGCGGGUUGAUUCCUUGAAAGUUGAGGGACUUUUUUGUAAAAUGACAACGACGGACGAAAAUUGAGGCAGAGACGUUGCUUGCUUUAAUAAUAGGUAUAGAUAUCUAAACAUUAUGUACAUAAAAACUAUGUAUCUAGAAAAGUCAAGAUAACUUACAAACUUACAAUUUAGGAUGGAAGUAGUUAUGAUUGCAUUGAAAGGUAGGGUAAUGACGCUUUUGGAGCAAUUCCUUGUUUGCUAGUGUGUGCGUGCGCUUUGCAAGCACGUGGCAAUGUGUGCAUGUUUUUUCUUUUCUUUCUACGUUCCUUUUUUUAAACUUAUGUGUGGAAGGCCUUCCAUACUUCCAUAUACUAAAAUAUAGUUGCAAAUAAGGAAUUAGCAAAGUUGCAAUUACAAGGGAAUGUGCAAAUUUGCAAUUGAGACAAAAAAAAAUAUCACCACUUUGUUUAGGACUUGAUAUGAUGUAUUGGCUACAUGUGCGAUAAUGACCAUAGCAUACUAGCAGCCAGUUUGAGAAUGUUGAAAUUUGAGAUACAUUAGUUUCAAAAUGUCCAAAUUAAAUGAUUGAAACAUUCAAAAUCUUUGAAGUGCCUAUGUUUCAAGGAAACGAUCGAAAAACAGCUACGUUUGUCCCUCACAUAAACAUCCUUUUCUCUUCCUCAUGAACAUGUAAAUGAAGGAAACCUCUUGGAAAAUCCCGUUUUGUGCCCGUGCGGCGUUCUUUCAAGAGCUACUCUCUAUCCGACCACACAUACCACCCUCUCCCUCCUAUUUUGGAGCCCACGUGCCAUAUUCCCAUUAGAGCUGGUCCAACACUCCAUCGUAGAUGUUGGCUUCACAUAGCUACGUUUGCAAGGUGUUUGUCGUGGAAGAGAGAGAGAGGGAAUAGUUGGUGGCUUGGAUAUUACUGAUGCAACUUGCAAAAGUACAUGUGGUAGGGUAAGACGGCGGCCCAAGAGAGUAGGGAUGGAUAUGGAUGUCUUUGAAAAUCCGAAUUAUCCGAAUUCAUAUCCGCUAAAAACGUCAAUAUGGAUAUCCGAUUCGUAUUCGUUUUUAAUGUGGACGUUAAAUGGAUGUAUCCAGAUUCGAUUUUCAGUAUUUUUCUCGAUCCGGUUCCAGAUUCGUAUUCGACAAAAAUGUGAAAUAUCCGAUAUUAUCCGCAUCCGCAAAGAAUAAAGUACCCAAUGACACAAUCUAAAACUUAUUUAUAUUACUAAAUACUAAUUACAAAUAAUGUAAAUUUUAAUAUUGCUAAUAAAAUAAUUAUUUACACCAUUUAGACUAUUAAAAAAUUAUCUAUAUGACAAAUGACUAAUUAUGUGAACCUAAUAUUACUAGUGAUAUAUAAUGAUAGAGUUUAAUUAAUUUUAACAUGACCAAUCAUAUUAAUUUUAAAUACAUUAUAUUAUUUAUUAAAUGAAUAAAUCAUAUUUAAAUGUAUUCAUGAACUUAUUUUUAUUAUUAAAUUAUAUAUAUGGAAUAUAUUUAUUUUGAAAAAUUUAAUUAUUUAUUAAUAAAUAUGUUAUUUUAAUAAGAUAUCUAUUAUGUACUAUGCUCAUAAUUUACUCCCUACUUGUAAGUUGUAACAUUAUUUUUGAUCAAUUACAAAAUCAUCGAUAAAGUAAAAUCGAUACUCAUUAUGACGCUAUGUUAUAAGUCGAGCAAGUAUCCGAAUGCGAAUCCGAAUUUGAACUAUUCAUUUUGUAUUCAUAUUCGAUAAUAUUUGAAUUAAAAUAUGGUAAAUAGUGCUAUCUGAAUUCAAUUCCAUACGUAUCGGAUCUGAAUCCAUCCCUACAAGAGAGAGAGGGUGGUCUAGGAAGGAACAAAGCAAAAUGAUCUAUUGAUUUCCUAUCGAUACCUUGGCUUUACAUAGCACAUUCUCUCUCGCUUAGAACCUCCACUUGAUAUUGGCUACCGUUGACCUAUGGUUUCUCUUUCCCAAUUUUUUUCUUUAUCCUAAGCUUCUUAUCUCAUUCCUUUUUUUAUAAUAAUUAUCAUAUUCAUUGCUCAGAGUCGUCAUCAAUUCGUUUUGAGCUUAAGCUCCGCUAUUGCCCCUAGCUGAGAACAAAAACAACCAAACUGGACAUGAAUUUUAGCAUCAAUCGGAUAUAUCAAAGAUGUUCCCGAACAUUUGAGAUGACGAGAGGGACAUCACCAUACUUUCAAAAUUUGAAAACACUUCACAAAAAGGUUGAAGGUUGUUUUGGCAGGAAAAAGAAAAAGGCUUGCCUGAUUUUGGGUGUUCAAAAUCACUGUUGUAGCACUGUAGCAUACUGUAGCGUUUCGUUUGUAUUUGUCAAUUAUUAUCUAAAUAUUGACUAAUUAGACUUAAAAGAUUCGUCUCGCAAAGUAUAACAAAACUGUGCAAUUAGUUUUUGAUUUCGUCUACAUUUAGUACUCCAUACAUGUACCGCAAGUUUGAUAUGAUGGGAAAUCUUCUUUUUAGAUAAUGUUAAAAUUGGAAGUUAGGGGACUAAACAGGCCCAAAUUCCUGGCUCGUUCCAAAAGCCUGAAAAGCUGAAACCCUGUGAACGUACGGAAAGCAACUUCCUAAUCCUGUCCUUUUGCACAAGCAGCACUGCAGUCUGCAGCAGGCGGGCGUGACCUCGUGAGUGACUGACCUCCAGCUGUCGAUCUCUCGCUGCUUUCGCUCUUCAAUACCCCCACCAGAAUCUCCCCUCCCAUCGCCUCAACAACAGCCGCCGCUGCCGGCUUCCGCGGAGAUGGCGACGACGGUCGCCGACCUCACGGAGGAAGCCCUCGACGCCAUCCUCCGCUGCCUCACCCCCGCCGACCUCAUCCGCGCGGCGCUCGCCUGCCACCGCUGGCGCCGGGCCGCCUCCCGCGCCCUCCCGCGCGCGCCGCCCCUCCUCGGCUACUUCUUCCACCCGCAGGGCCCCGCCAAGCCGCCCCCCGAGCCGACGUCGGACAAGACCCACCACCCCGCCGUCUUCGUCCCACUCGACGCCGCCUCCCCGCGCCUCUCCCUCGAGCUCAGCCCCACCGCCGCCCGCGGCCUCUCCAUCCAGGACGUCCACCUCGGCCUCAUCCUCCUCCUCCACCACCCGCGCCCCCAGUCGCUCCUGCCCCGCAUCGUCGCCGUCGACCCGGCGUCGCGCCGCCGCGUGCUGCUCCCGCCGCCGCCGCCGCGGGGCACGCUGCCCGACGACCGCUGGCGCGGCGACAGGAGCGUCAUCGGCGUCGCCGUGCUCUCGCGCGCGCACCCGAGCAGGCUCUCCUUCGACGCCGUCUGCGUCACCAUCGACGGCAGCCUCCCGCGCGCCUGGGUCGCGUCCGUCCGCGACGGCGACUGCGCCUGGCGCGCGCUGCCGCGGGCCGACAGAGUCGUGGUCGACUUCGACCCGUGGUGGUUCGAGACCCGCUGCGUGCACGCCGCUGGGAACAUCUACUGGCACAUCUGCAACUCCAGCCGCCUGCUCCAGCUGGAUCCUCGCACGCUGGAGUUCUCUUUCAUGCCGGUGCCUGCCGCCCUGGGGGACCGAAUCAAAAAGUACCGCAUCGGGGAGAUGCCGGAGGACGGCCGUCUGUGCAUGGCAGCGAUCGUGGACGAAGAAGAUCUGCAGAUCUGGGUGCGUGGUAAGGCCAGGUGGAGCGACCGGGGGUGGUUAUUGGAGAGGGAGAUGUCCAUGACCAAGGUGCUCGACACCGUGCCUGGGCUACCCAAGGAAUCGAUGGGGCGGAUGAUAUGCACCUGGCUCAGCGACAUCGACUACGCCCGCACCGGUAAGGUGUUCAUCAAGACGUGGGGAUAUGGGCGCUACUCAUUCCAUAUGGAGAGUGGCAAGCUGGAGCACCUGGUGAUGAAAGAUGGCAAGGAGUACGGGGAUCCCAUGUACGCCUACACCUUGGCCUGGCCACCUGAGUUCCUCGCUGCAAAAGACUGACUUUCCGGUGAUUUGCAUAGCCACCCUUCUCUCUUCGUGCCAUUUUUGUUUAUGUGAUGUUUUGCUUGAUCAAAUGCUCCAUUCAUUAUUCUUUUUCUGUGAUCAUCUGAAUGGUCGGAUGCAUGCACAUUUGUUAUAGUAUCAAGUAGCAGUAGAUGGAGCAAGCAUGUCCUUUCAUUUUCGGAUUUGGUAUAGUUACUUGCAAAGUGGCAAGAUAACUGGGGGUAUCAAAGUAGCAAUCUUUGGAAGGUAGAAGCAGUUUUAGAACAUCGAAUUUAACACAUAUUAGUGGGAAGCUUGAUGCGCAUCAAUUUGGUGAAUUGUGUGCCCUUCCAUUUGCUCUAGGUGGUAUAUGCUUAUAUUUGGUACAAACUAAUUUCUCAGGAAGUUGUAUUUAGGUCAGUUACUUAUGUUUUUCUUGAUCAAAUGCUCCAUUCAUCAUUUUUCUAUGCGAUUAUCUGAAUGGUCUGAUGCAUGCACAUUUAGUUAUAGUAUCUAGUAGUAGUUGAGGGAGCAACCAUAUGUAGCAACCUUCUGCCUUUGGAUUUGUAAUAGUUACUCGCAAAGUGGCAAGAUAAUUGGGUUAUCAAUGUGGCAAUAUUUGAAAGGUAGCAGCCAAUUUUAGAACAUCAAAAUUACCACAUAUUUGUGGGAAGCUUGACAACCCUAACUUUGAUGGUAGUGCGCCUUCCAGAGGCUGUAGGCUUUGUUGUACACUUGUAUUUAGUACAAACUUAUUUCUCCAUAUAUACUUUGCUUUGGACAUUACAGUUUUGUUCCUUGAAUUUUAAAUUUCUUUUCUUAAAUGAGGUAUUUUGUGCAGAUUAGAGAUGCCACUUGGGCUAAACUUCUAAUUUAACAUUUCAUUGGAGUCCCUUUUUAAUUAUGUGUGAAUUUAAUGACAUCCUUUAAUUAUUUUGUUUCUCAGUUUGUUAACUCACUCCAGAAAUUGUGAAUUUCAUGGAUGCUGUAACUUGUAAUGGUGCAAUCGAGCCUUUUAGCUUGUGCACAUAGAUACUAAACCUGAGUAGUACUAUAAUUUAAAUUCCUUAAUCUGUAAAGCUUCACAACAAGGAGCAGUCGGCUUCCCUUCCAUGUCGUUAUUAUUUUAAUUUAUGUGAAGUUGCUUGAUCAAAUACUGAAUAAUGAGAUGAGAUCAUUUUUCUGUGAUUGCACCCUGGGUGGUUUGAUGCAUGUGCAACACUUUAAGUUGGUUGCGGUAGGAGGCAUCACAAGCGUGUUCACUUGUUUAGGAUUGUUGUGAUGGCAACAUAACUGCUGCGACCUGUGAUGAGCUCUGUACAGUACCAGCCAGUUUCGUAAUGUCAAAAUUCGAAGACACAGUAUCUAGUGGUCUGUCUUAUGUAUUUUCCAAACCCAUUUGAGGCAAACUUGAUGAUCCUACAUUCGAAUAUUCGAUGCAUUUUGUACAUUCCAGUGGCUUUGGUAGGCUGAUGAUUAAUAUUUUGGACAAACAAAGUGCUCUGGAUGAGAUAUUUUCAUUUUAAGAAUCUGUUUAAUACUGUGCUUUUAUAUGGAAGUUUGGUUCCCUAGAUUUUGGUCAAGGUGAUGGAUUAUUGAAUGCUGUUUGGAUUCAAGGAAUAGUUGUGCUUAUUUUUUUUGCUCUGUUGCUCAAACAGUUCAGAAAUUUUGAGUUGUGGGUUCCAAGCUUUGUUUAAGUGUGCAACUGAGCCUUUUAGCUUAUGCUGAUUCAAGACACUAGAAUUUGGAAUAUUUAGAAUGGUCAUGUUAGGCUUGAUUCUAUCUUGCCAACUUUUUAUAUUUGCUAGCAUGAUUUCAGCUCCUGUGUGAUAAUUACGCGUUUCGUGUGUCUGAAAUCUGCCAAAUAGAAAUAGUAGUACUUGUAUAUUUUCUGGAGGUUUUAUGGUUGCAACUUGAAUACUAAUGAUGCUAUUUUAACACAGUAAUUAUUUUGUAACUUUUAUUCCAUAUCAAAAUUAUAUUCUGAUAUGUAAGGUGCGAAACAUGUCUGAAAUAAAUUGCUAUUUUCUGGACUUGCCAGUUUGGUGCUCAAUAAUUAGAAAGAAUGGAGGAAAUAUUUGCACCUUAGUGUUUGAUAAGAGUAAGGCACAAUUAAUUGUGAGUCCGUUCCAUUUUGUACCAUUAUGCAGAACUUAGAAUCGAAAGGUGUUUGCAUGAAACUAGAGAAGCUGUGUGCCAAUUAGAUGACUCUUGAGGCAUAACUUAUUUUUUCUUGAAUUUUAGCAAGAGUUAAGGUUCACGUAUCUUUGAAACUGAUUAGGAGAACAGUGCUGCUGUUUGACUAUUUUAUCGAUUUGGUUAGUUAGUUAGAUGGUGAAAGAAAUCUAGACGAAAGGAUAUUAUUGGUGUCAUUCAACUUCUGUACGAUCAAUUAUGUGUUAAUUAAUCUUCUUUUUCUGUUAAUAUGAUUAAUAAUGCGUCAUGUACAGUCUCUUUCUAGUUAAGUAAUAAUCUUCAUUGCGUAGAAGAUGCUUUUGUUAAGCAAUUUGCCGAUCUGACAUAAUUCGUUCUAUUUUAAUUUGUAUAUUUUCAUGGAUUUCUUCCAAUGAAACGAGUUGCUUGAAGAACCUUUAGACCAUGAAAGUACUAUGAAUGUUCUUUGGCACGAUCGAAUUUUAAUGAUUACGCACACAGGAUCCAUGUUCUGGUUUCAAUCUAGUUCGGUUUUACAUACAAAUUGCCCAUCUCAUUUCAUAGAAACUCAACUUGUUUGAUUCCUAGGCACUUAGAAUUGUGCUAAUAAGUACCUUUUCUUUAUAUUUCAGGGUGGUGACUGAUGAAAGAAGAUAUCAGCAUGGCAGAUCAGCUCACCUCGUUGCAUUUCUGGGUCACUAGUGUUCCUUGUUAUGUUCGAGUUAACUCAUACACAGCUGUAGCUGAAUUUAUCUUGGCACCAUUUUUUUUUUUUGGAUUAGAUGGCAUUCGGAAGAGCAUGCCACGCUAUGCAGAUUUCAGGCGAAACAUAUAUGCUUCCUCAUCAUAAGAAGUUUAUCCCAUUGGACUAUGAUGGCAUUUUGAAGACAUCCGUCAGGAUCGUCGGCUAUGCUUGUUAUAGCCAAACCGCGCUUUUGUUCGUCAUGAGUAAUAUUUAUCCCGUUUGACUCUGAUAAGCUUGCUCCUGUUCUGCGUGUCGUGUGAUGAUCGAUAGCUUAGAUUUGCAUCUUUGAGUGAGCUCGUUAUCUUGAAUUUUUGUGGUUGCACUUUGUUUUUUUAGUUUGCUCUUGCGCUGUGGUUCAUAACUGCAUGCACUUCCUAGGUUUAAACUGUGUCGCCAUCUUCGCAGCCUGCCAUCGUUGACCCUUCUCGUCAGUGCAAGGCUGGCAAGAUGGGCAACAACAACAUGUCCCUCGGUCCGUCUCGUUUGUAUUGCGUAGGAGUUGAGACUUGCUAUUGUCAGGGAGGUAGUUUCCUAUUUGGUGUCCAGUACCAGUGUGUAGCACCUGCAUAACUGAUCGAAAUAUUAGCUAAAAAACCUUAUGCAAAUAUCGAAUUGCUUGUUAUUAAAAUUUGGUAGUGUUACUAGAUUUUGUUAGCAUUUCAUUUAAAUUAGAGCGACGGUUUUGAGGCCGCCUGAUAGCAUCUGACGCUGGGCAGUGGUAGUAUUGAAUCAUAAGUCUUGAGGCAAAUCAAGUUCAGUAUUUUUCAAAAAAAUUCUGUAAAAAGAAAACAUUUAUCACUGCAGAAUGGCACAUACUAAACAUCACUGCUUGCAUUGAUUUUUCAUGUCCUUUUUACAAGAUCUUUCAAUAUUUUAUAAUAAAUAGAAAUGAUUGUUGAAACUUGGUGUAUCGUCACAAAAGCACCUCGCGUGCAACCCAAAGCAACAUGAUUCGCUUAUGUCACUGCACGGACCGGAAAUUCUAACCAUUAGACGAAAUCCCGAAGAUUAGGCAGACAAAAUCCUGCGAAUGUUCGUUGCCAGCGACUAGCAGCGAACGGACGUUAUCUUCAGCGCCAAA